GUUUCCAUAGUUGAAUAACAACGAUGAUUUUUCAUGUCAUAGGUCGUGGUUUGACCCCAUGUGGAAAUU
RNAcentral lists this transfer RNA (69 nucleotides) under Anourosorex squamipes (mole shrew). RNAcentral describes it as "tRNA-Glu". It matches the Rfam family "tRNA". From Rfam's summary of the family: Transfer RNA (tRNA) molecules are approximately 80 nucleotides in length. Their secondary structure includes four short double-helical elements and three loops (D, anti-codon, and T loops). Further hydrogen bonds mediate the characteristic L-shaped molecular structure. tRNAs have two regions of fundamental functional importance: the anti-codon, which is responsible for specific mRNA codon recognition, and the 3' end, to which the tRNAs corresponding amino acid is attached (by aminoacyl-tRNA synthetases). tRNAs cope with the degeneracy of the genetic code in two manners: having more than one tRNA (with a specific anti-codon) for a particular amino acid; and 'wobble' base-pairing, i.e. permitting non-standard base-pairing at the 3rd anti-codon position. The record is from RNAcentral. Lineage: Eukaryota; Metazoa; Chordata; Mammalia; Eulipotyphla; Soricidae.